This 1155-nucleotide long non-coding RNA is filed under the name Homo sapiens (human). RNAcentral describes it as "HSALNT0381451". The record is from RNAcentral. Lineage: Eukaryota; Metazoa; Chordata; Mammalia; Primates; Hominidae.
CUUUAUAGCAACGUGAAAAGAGACUAAUACAACAAACAAUCUACUUACAAUAGAUCUGAGAAUAAAAUACCUGGGAAUAAAUUUAACCAAGAGGUGAAAGACCUGGACACUGAAAACUACAAAAAAUUGCUGGCAGAAGUUAAAGAGGAACGAAUUAAAUGACUCCUUCAGAAAUGCAACACAGAGGACUCUAGCCCAACGCAUAAUCUACACUCCAAACUGAAGUUUCUCCUUCAAACUUUGUCUGCUUUACCAUCCUGAUGAGCUUGCCUUCACAUUAACUCAAUGACCCAUGUUGCCCUGUUCACCGAAAUCCUGAAACCAACACUGAGGUAGUCCUGGAGCCUGGCUGUGGCUCUGCCCAACUUUCCUGAGCCACCUCCACUCCUUGCUACUACUGGUCACAGUGGAGAGAUACACAGAGGACAACAGGCAAGGAAAAAAGAGAGCUGAAGAUUAUCAUUAUUUCCUCACUCUUUUCAUCAAAGAUAUUAUCUCCUGGUCCUGAAAUAGUACUGCUCCUUGACACCCUCCUGAGAUACCAGACAAUAAAAAAUGUAGAUUUUAAAAAGUAACCAUCACCUUAUGCUUUAUAAUAAGCCACAAUUUUGUGCUGUUCUUAUUCUAUUAAAGACAAUCGCUACAAUAUAUAAACAUGGUUAGAAACCAUGCAAGCAAGAAAAGCAUGUGGUGAAAUAUUUAAAGAAUUGAAAGGAAAAAAAAAUCUACCUAGAAGUUUGUACCCAGUGAAAUUAUCCUCCAAAAGUGAAGGAAAAAUAAAGACUUUAUCAGAAAAAAGAAUUGAUGUAGACCUACCUUGCAAAGAAGGAUUACAAGAAGUUCUUCAGAGAGGAGGAAAAUGGUGUAGGUCAGAAACUUGGGUCUGCAUAAGCAACAGGGAGCAUCAGGAAAGAAGUGUUGUCAAUAAAAGAGCCACGAGAGAGAGAGAAGAGAACUUGAAGAGACAAUAAAGGACACAAUUUGCUGCUUUCUGAAUCACUGAUGAAUCUGAGUCAGUUAAGGUAUAAAUGCUUCAAAAAUAAAUAGUAUGAAUGGCAAGAAUGGACUCUUGUUAAGUACUUUCUAAUAGUAGAAUUUGCAUUUAUUAUAAACCUGCAUCGAUGUUGCACUUUUAUCAAAAUUAAAGCCAUUAAG